RNAcentral lists this transfer RNA (81 nucleotides) under Pandoraea terrigena. Its description in RNAcentral is "Pandoraea sp. LMG 31013 tRNA-Ala". Lineage: Bacteria; Pseudomonadati; Pseudomonadota; Betaproteobacteria; Burkholderiales; Burkholderiaceae. The record is from RNAcentral.
CGUUGGCGUGCCCGGCGGACAGCAAGCGCGCAUUGGCGGUGCCCGCGACCGUGUAGCCGGCGUUCGACACGCUGUUGACGA